AUUUCUAUGGUUUUUGGGCCCCAAUGGAUGAUGAGCUCCCCCCCCCCAGUAGAAAGAAAAAAAUUUAAUGCUCUGGUAAGCAUUCCUGACUGCGCCCCUGGUAUAUGUAUUUUAUACAUGUAAAUGUAUAUAAGAAUAUGAUUAACUCAGUGAUUUAGUGAUAUCGUGAAUUUUCGCUCCAAACCAGACUUCUUUCUGACUACGCGCGUUUAGGGCUUUUUAAAUGCGCAGAUGAGUUUUUGGGCGCGGACUCAUCCUUGCAUACGCACAGGGAACGAUAUCGACAAAAGUUGAGAUUCUGAACAAGAAUGGGUGCUUGCAGCGGAAAAAUUAUUAAAUCCCAGAGUUCAUUAGAUGUUCUUGAAUCAACUGCGUGGAUCAGGGAUGAAAAAUAAUAAAUACAAA
Molecule: long non-coding RNA, 405 nt
Organism: Eurytemora carolleeae
Lineage: Eukaryota; Metazoa; Arthropoda; Copepoda; Calanoida; Temoridae
Exons: 3
Source: RefSeq, a predicted model, not a curated record